This 1110-nucleotide ribosomal RNA is filed under the name Vibrio sp. 8320M. RNAcentral describes it as "bacterial SSU rRNA". It matches the Rfam family "Bacterial small subunit ribosomal RNA", at positions 386 to 1489 of the family's 1533-position model. The record is from RNAcentral. Lineage: Bacteria; Pseudomonadati; Pseudomonadota; Gammaproteobacteria; Vibrionales; Vibrionaceae.
AUGCGCCAUGCCGCGUGUGUGAAGAAGGCCUUCGGGUUGUAAAGCACUUUCAGUCGUGAGGAAGGUGGUGGUGUUAAUAGCACUAUCAUUUGACGUUAGCGACAGAAGAAGCACCGGCUAACUCCGUGCCAGCAGCCGCGGUAAUACGGAGGGUGCGAGCGUUAAUCGGAAUUACUGGGCGUAAAGCGCAUGCAGGUGGUUUGUUAAGUCAGAUGUGAAAGCCCGGGGCUCAACCUCGGAAUAGCAUUUGAAACUGGCAGACUAGAGUACUGUAGAGGGGGGUAGAAUUUCAGGUGUAGCGGUGAAAUGCGUAGAGAUCUGAAGGAAUACCGGUGGCGAAGGCGGCCCCCUGGACAGAUACUGACACUCAGAUGCGAAAGCGUGGGGAGCAAACAGGAUUAGAUACCCUGGUAGUCCACGCCGUAAACGAUGUCUACUUGGAGGUUGUGGCCUUGAGCCGUGGCUUUCGGAGCUAACGCGUUAAGUAGACCGCCUGGGGAGUACGGUCGCAAGAUUAAAACUCAAAUGAAUUGACGGGGGCCCGCACAAGCGGUGGAGCAUGUGGUUUAAUUCGAUGCAACGCGAAGAACCUUACCUACUCUUGACAUCCAGAGAACUUUUCAGAGAUGAAUUGGUGCCUUCGGGAACUCUGAGACAGGUGCUGCAUGGCUGUCGUCAGCUCGUGUUGUGAAAUGUUGGGUUAAGUCCCGCAACGAGCGCAACCCUUAUCCUUGUUUGCCAGCGAGUAAUGUCGGGAACUCCAGGGAGACUGCCGGUGAUAAACCGGAGGAAGGUGGGGACGACGUCAAGUCAUCAUGGCCCUUACGAGUAGGGCUACACACGUGCUACAAUGGCGCAUACAGAGGGCAGCAAGCUAGCGAUAGUGAGCGAAUCCCAAAAAGUGCGUCGUAGUCCGGAUUGGAGUCUGCAACUCGACUCCAUGAAGUCGGAAUCGCUAGUAAUCGUGGAUCAGAAUGCCACGGUGAAUACGUUCCCGGGCCUUGUACACACCGCCCGUCACACCAUGGGAAGUGGGCUGCAAAAGAAGUAGGUAGUUUAACCUUCGGGAGGACGCUUACCACUUUGUGGUUCAUGACUGGGGUGAAUCGU